UACGACUACAUAUCAGGCAUAUCAAUAAGCGGAGGAAAAGAAACUAACUAGGAUUCCCUUAGUAACGGCGAGUGAAGCGGGAAGAGCUCAAAUUUGAAAUCUUCAAGGUUUACCUUGACGAAUUGUAGUUUAAAGAAGUGUUUUCUGUUGGAGUUUUCGGUAAAAGUUCUUUGGAAUAGGACAUCAUAGAGGGUGAGAAUCCCGUAUUUGACCGUUACUUUCCAGCUGUGUGAUACACUUUCAAAGAGUCGGAUUGUUUGGGAAUGCAGUCCAAAAUGGGUGGUAAAUUUCAUCUAAAGCUAAAUAUUGGCGAGAGACCGAUAGCGAACAAGUACCGUGAGGGAAAGAUGAAAAGAACUUUGAAAAGAGAGUUAAACAGUACGUGAAAUUGUCAAAAGGGAAGCGUUUGACACCAGUGUUGUUUAGUUCGAAAAUCAAUUAAAAAUGGCGGGAUUUUGUGUUGUAUUGACUUUAUCAGCUUUCUGCACUUUUUUCAUGUCUUUUUUAAUGCACUUUUCGUUUAACAAGUCAACAUCAGUUUCUUUUGUUGUAAAAAGGUCAUUGGAAGGUGGCUUUCUUUUCGGAGAAAGUGUUUAUAGCCUUUGACUUCUGCAAUCGGAGAGAUUGAGGUCUGCAGCGUAGAUCCUUCGGGGUUAGAUACAUUUGUGCCAAGUUAUAGUUUUUCAUAGACAACAUGUUGACUAUGAUUAAUCAUGUAGCUUACUCGCUUAUGCUAUUUUACCUACGCUUAGGAUGUUGACGCGCGUGUGUGCGUG
This 776-nucleotide ribosomal RNA is filed under the name uncultured Neocallimastigales. Its description in RNAcentral is "partial large subunit ribosomal RNA". It matches the Rfam family "Eukaryotic large subunit ribosomal RNA", at positions 24 to 639 of the family's 3401-position model. The record is from RNAcentral. Lineage: Eukaryota; Fungi; Neocallimastigomycota; Neocallimastigomycetes; Neocallimastigales.